This 1596-nucleotide ribosomal RNA is filed under the name Triticum aestivum (bread wheat). RNAcentral describes it as "partial small subunit ribosomal RNA". Lineage: Eukaryota; Viridiplantae; Streptophyta; Magnoliopsida; Poales; Poaceae. The record is from RNAcentral.
AUGAAUCAAGAUCAAUCAAUUCGGGUAGCUCUCGAUAAGCAAACUGAUCUUACAAAAAAACAAAAUCGAAUUCGGCUUAAUGCUUCAAUUGAUUCUGUUAGAUACUUGUUGCAUCAAGGCUUAGCUUUCCGAGGCCAUGACGAAACAGAAGAGUCAAAAAAUAAGGGAAACUUUCGAGAGUUGGUAAAAACUUUGGCAAAUCAAAAUGAUGAUAUACGAAAAGUAGCUCUUGAGAAUGCUCUACAAAAUUGCAAGUGGGUAUGUGGAGAUAUUCAGAAGGAAAUUGCCAACUAUUUUGCCAAGAUAACUUUGAAUUCUAUUAUUGAAGAAAUUGGAGGUGAUGUGUUUAGUUUGUUGAUUGACGAAGCUGCUGAUGUGUCUGACAAAGAGCAAAUGGCAGUUGUUUUGAGAUAUCUUAGCAAGCAUGGAUUUAUCAUUGAACGAUUAGUUGGAGUAGUACAUGUGCAAGAAACAUCGGCAAUAUGUCUUCAGGCCGCACUUCAAAAAUUAUUCACCGAUCUUGGUUUAAGCAUAAAACAAGUCAGAGGACAAUGUUAUGACGGGGCUAGCAAUAUGCGCGGCGAGUUCAAUGGCUUGAAAGCAAAGAUUUUGCAAGAGAAUAAAUCAGCCUAUUAUGUGCAUUGUUUUGCUCACCAACUCCAGUUGGUUAUUGUAGCUGUAGCAAAGAAGCAUGAAGAUAUUUCAGAUUUUUUCUACAUGAUCUCCAUUUUAUUUAAUGUGGUUGGAGCUUCUUGCAAAAGAAAGGACAUGAUUAGAGAGAAACAUCGAGAGGAUGUAAUAAAAGCCAUAGGUAGUGGGCAGAUUAGCACUGGCAGAGGGUUAAAUCAAGAUCAAACUCUUCAGAGAGCUGGUGACACUCGUUGGGGCUCACACUACAGAACUCUCUCAAGUCUAGUGAAGUUGUUCCCUGCAGUCAUGUCUGUUCUGAAAUAUGUGGAGAAAGAAGGUAAAAAUGAAAAGAAAAGUCAGGCGCGUGGUCUUGUAGCAUAUUUUGAGACCUUUGAUUUUGUGUUUUAUUUGCACAUGAUGCUGCAUAUAUUAGGAAAUGCAAAUACUUUGUCACAUUCUUUACAAAAGAAGGAUCAAGACAUCCUAAAUGCCAUGUCAUGUGUCAAGUCCACAAGGAAUGAGCUACAAGAACUAAGGGAGAAUGGAUGGGACUCACUGAUACAGAAGACAUAUUCAUUUUGUGAAGAACAUCACAUUGAGAAGGCGGACAUGCAGGAGCAAUAUAUCAAUCGACACAAACCAAGACAAAAAACUAAUAAGACAAACCUCCAGCAUUACCGAGUAGAGUGUCUUAAUUCUGUUAUUGACUGGCAACUUCAAGAGUUUGAUGACCGUUUCAAUGAGGUAAAUUCUGCAUUACUUGGUCACAUGGCUUCUUUCAACCCAAACGAUGGAUUUGUUGCUUUUAACUUGGAUAGCUUAGUGAAGCUAGCUGAGUUUUAUCCAGAUGAUUUUGAUUCAAAAAAAUGGAUGAUCUUGGUCCUGAACUGCGCACUUACAUUGAUAAUGUGCGAGCGGAUGAAAGGUUUGCUAAUUUGGACGGGAUUGCUGAUCUUGCGAAGUUAA